RNAcentral lists this ribosomal RNA (981 nucleotides) under uncultured bacterium. RNAcentral's name for it is "bacterial SSU rRNA". It matches the Rfam family "Bacterial small subunit ribosomal RNA", at positions 8 to 987 of the family's 1533-position model. The record is from RNAcentral.
AGAGUUUGAUCAUGGCUCAGAUUGAACGCUGGCGGCAUGCCUUACACAUGCAAGUCGAACGGUAACGCGGGGCAACCUGGCGACGAGUGGCGAACGGGUGAGUAAUACAUCGGAACGUGCCCAGUAGUGGGGGAUAGCCCGGCGAAAGCCGGAUUAAUACCGCAUACGACCUACGGGUGAAAGCGGGGGAUCGCAAGACCUCGCGCUAUUGGAGCGGCCGAUGUCAGAUUAGGUUGUUGGUGGGGUAAAGGCCUACCAAGCCGACGAUCUGUAGCUGGUCUGAGAGGACGACCAGCCACACUGGGACUGAGACACGGCCCAGACUCCUACGGGAGGCAGCAGUGGGGAAUUUUGGACAAUGGGGGCAACCCUGAUCCAGCCAUGCCGCGUGCGGGAAGAAGGCCUUCGGGUUGUAAACCGCUUUUGUCAGGGAAGAAAUGCUCUGGGCUAAUACCCCGGAGUGAUGACGGUACCUGAAGAAUAAGCACCGGCUAACUACGUGCCAGCAGCCGCGGUAAUACGUAGGGUGCGAGCGUUAAUCGGAAUUACUAGGCGUAAAGCGUGCGCAGGCGGUCGUGCAAGACAGGUGUGAAAUCCCCGGGCUUAACCUGGGAACUGCAUUUGUGACUGCACGGCUUGAGUACGGCAGAGGGGGAUGGAAUUCCGCGUGUAGCAGUGAAAUGCGUAGAUAUGCGGAGGAACACCGAUGGCGAAGGCAGUCCCCUGGGCCUGUACUGACGCUCAUGCACGAAAGCGUGGGGGGCAAACAGGAUUAGAUACCCUGGUAGUCCACGCCCUAAACGAUGUCAACUGGUUGUUGGGAAGGUUCCUUCUCAGUAACGUAGCUAACGCGUGAAGUUGACCGCCUGGGGAGUACGGCCCGCAGGUUGAAACUCAAAGGAAUUGACGGGGACCCCGCACAAGCGGUGGAUGAUGUGGUUAAUUCGAUGCAACGCGAAAAACCUUACCUACCCUUGACAU